Molecule: transfer RNA, 74 nt
Filed under: Candidatus Roizmanbacteria bacterium CG2_30_33_16
Lineage: Bacteria; Candidatus Roizmaniibacteriota
Also listed under: 2 other names
Description: tRNA-Val
Rfam family: tRNA
About the family: Transfer RNA (tRNA) molecules are approximately 80 nucleotides in length. Their secondary structure includes four short double-helical elements and three loops (D, anti-codon, and T loops). Further hydrogen bonds mediate the characteristic L-shaped molecular structure. tRNAs have two regions of fundamental functional importance: the anti-codon, which is responsible for specific mRNA codon recognition, and the 3' end, to which the tRNAs corresponding amino acid is attached (by aminoacyl-tRNA synthetases). tRNAs cope with the degeneracy of the genetic code in two manners: having more than one tRNA (with a specific anti-codon) for a particular amino acid; and 'wobble' base-pairing, i.e. permitting non-standard base-pairing at the 3rd anti-codon position.
Source: RNAcentral
GGCCGCUUAGCUCAGUUGGCUAGAGCGUCUGAUUUACAUUCAGUAGGUCGGGGGUUCAAAUCCCUCAGCGGCCA